RNAcentral lists this ribosomal RNA (477 nucleotides) under uncultured organism. RNAcentral describes it as "partial 16S ribosomal RNA". It matches the Rfam family "Bacterial small subunit ribosomal RNA", at positions 329 to 797 of the family's 1533-position model. The record is from RNAcentral.
ACGUACACUCCUACGGGAGGCAGCAGUGGGAAAUUUUGGACAAUGGGCGAAAGCCUGAUCCAGCCAUGCCGCGUGCAGGAUGAAGGCCUUCGGGUUGUAAACUGCUUUUGUACGGAACGAAACGGCCUUUUCUAAUAAAGAGGGCUAAUGACGGUACCGUAAGAAUAAGCACCGGCUAACUACGUGCCAGCAGCCGCGGUAAUACGUAGGGUGCAAGCGUUAAUCGGAAUUACUGGGCGUAAAGCGUGCGCAGGCGGUUAUGUAAGACAGUUGUGAAAUCCCCGGGCUCAACCUGGGAACUGCAUCUGUGACUGCAUAGCUAGAGUACGGUAGAGGGGGAUGGAAUUCCGCGUGUAGCAGUGAAAUGCGUAGAUAUGCGGAGGAACACCGAUGGCGAAGGCAAUCCCCUGGACCUGUACUGACGCUCAUGCACGAAAGCGUGGGGAGCAAACAGGAUUAGAUACCCCUGUAGUCCCA